CCACGUGAUUUUCCCUAUUCCAAAAUCCUCUAUGCAAGCCAUCUAUAGAAUAAAUAAAUUUCGCAUGGGGAAUUCCAUCAAGCAGGUAGUACUCAGUGCAAGACGUAACAUGAAGAGGAAGAAGACAUAGUUGGAUGCAUCGAUUUUCUUCUGAGAAUGCAGCUGGUCAGGAGGUAAUUGUAGAUGAAAGAAGAACAAACCAUAUUGACCUCUUGACGAUCACCUGCAUCAAAUCAAACACACAUGUGUGAAACUACACGUAUGUGCUUCAGGAAAAUGUAUAAGUUCUGUGAAUGAUCAGAACUACUAUACGUAAAUAAAACACAAAAUCAUUAAUUGGUUUUGCCAACUAAUAUGUUAUUAGGAGGAUGUAUCUUAGUAAAGAUAGAAGAAGGUAGAAGGAUGCAGGUUUACCCGGCAGCAAUUUUGCUACACAAUUGAACACCAUUAAGAACCAAGAUUGAGGUCCC
RNAcentral lists this long non-coding RNA (470 nucleotides) under Oryza sativa (Asian cultivated rice). RNAcentral describes it as "long non-coding RNA (OSAT_LNC001538)". Lineage: Eukaryota; Viridiplantae; Streptophyta; Magnoliopsida; Poales; Poaceae. The record is from RNAcentral.